RNAcentral lists this small RNA (1581 nucleotides) under Rattus norvegicus (Norway rat). RNAcentral's name for it is "uncharacterized LOC102548621". The record is from RNAcentral. Lineage: Eukaryota; Metazoa; Chordata; Mammalia; Rodentia; Muridae.
UGCUCAGGGGAGUAACAGUGUCACUGGUUGGUGACUUAUUCCGGACCCAACUCGGUCGAACUGAGUUUACAGGUCUAGCAACGCUUGCCACCGCAAUGGAAAUGUAGGUACAGAUUGCAACAACUGCCCCGUCUAGGUCUAGAUUUUUCCUCUGAAAUAAACCUGAUUUCAUCCUGGAGGAUUAUCACAUUUCAGAACACAUCUCAGCCGGGGAGUGGUGGUGCAGUUUCAACACCAGAACCUGAGAGGCAGAGGAAGUCUGGGAUGUUACCAGCAUCUUCAGGAAUCAUCACAACCCUUCAUUCAGUCAGACCAGACCCUGAGGUACGGCCCCUCUCCUCAUCUCUGGAAUUUGGGAACUGGGCAAGGCCAAGAUAGAGAGGAGGCGUGGCCCUGGCACUGGAAACCUGACUCCUGUCUCCACUUCUGUAUUUUCCCCAGGCACGGAUGAAGCCAGAGGGUUUGUGGUGUCAGGAUGUUGUCUGGGGCUGCUGGUGAAGACAGGCGGUGACUGGGAUGAUCAGGGUUCGGAAUCUCCUUCCUGCCUUCCACUCAGGUGGUGCAUAAAGGUUUAGAGAAUCAGCAUUGAAAGCGUAGACAGAUCACAGUUCUGUGCCCUUCUGCUAAACUGAGCUAAAGUCUGCGUUAGGUUCAGACUAUGUAAAUGUCAAAAUGGAGUCCCAGGAACUGCCUAGGACAGACUUUCGCCAGAGCACAAUGAAGAUGACACUGGCACUGACUCUGCUGCGAUUCUGUGUCCUGCCGGGUUAGAUACGGAACCGCGCGGGAGACCGCGGAAGCUGAUCCUGCGAGCGAAGGGCGGGCUGUGGCUGCGGGUGGAGCCGCUGACCCCACACCUGGUUUGAUAUCACCCCACCCACCCACCUCAUCGGGAUCCCAGAAUUAACAGAGGUGUUGCCCACACUCGAACCUCACCAUAUACCAACAGGGGGCGCUAUGAAACCGGACUGGUGCCUUUGAGUCCAAGAGCUUUCCUGUCCUCUAGGUGACCACAGGGCUUCCUCCCUGAGCUAGACUAUCCUGUAAGAGCCACUGUAGAUGUCUAAACAAAGGAGGGAACGGGUUUGAGCUUCUGUCACUGAAGCAAACACUGCAUUUUCUUUUGUUUUUGAAACAAGGUCUUACUCAUACAGUCGUAGUAGCCUAGACCUGACUGUGGACCAGUUUACAGCAAACUUCUGCUGAGACCUCAACCACCCAAAUGGUGCAAUUAGAAGGUGGGAUAAUUAUUAGAAACAAAGGGCAGUUUCCCAGGGGAAGUCUGGGAGCCCUUCAAAAUGAUGUUAAAUGAUGUCCAAGGCUUGCAGUGUUUAAGACCAUUGAGGCAGCUUGAAUUUAAAAUGGCAUCACAUUGCAAGCACCCUGUGUGGUGAUGUCCUUUCAGGUCUCCCCUUAUUCCUCCUGGGGCUGGGGAGGUGGCUCAGUGGAGAGACAGGAGGAUCCCGGGGCCUCACUAGCCAGCUAAUCUUGUGAAAUCAGAAAGCUCUAGUGCCUUUAAUCCUGGCACUUGUUGAGGUCAGCCUGAUUUACCAAGCAUGUUCUAGGACAGCCAGGGCCACA